CCUACGGGUGGCAGCAGUAGGGAAUCUUCGUCAAUGGGCGCAAGCCUGAACGAGCAAUGCCGCGUGAACGAGGAAGGUCUUCGGAUCGUAAAGUUCUGUUGAAGGGGAGAAAGAGCGGAGAGAGGAAAUGGUCUCCGAUUGAUAUUCCCCUUCGAGGAAGUCACGGCUAACUACGUGCCAGCAGCCGCGGUAAUACGUAGGUGGCGAGGGUUAUCCGGAAUGAUUGGGCGUAAAGGGUGCGUCGGCGGCCUGCUAAGUCUGGAGUGAAAGGUACCGGCUCAACCGGUACAGGCUCUGGAAACUGGCGGGCUAGAGAGCAGGAGAGGGCGGUGGAACUCCAUGUGGAGCGGUAAAAUGCGUAGAUAUAUGGAAGAACACCAGUGGCGAAGGCGGCCGCCUGGCCUGUUACUGACGCUGAGGCACGAAAGCGUGGGGAGCAAAUAGGAUUAGAUACCCUUGUAGUC
This 464-nucleotide ribosomal RNA is filed under the name uncultured bacterium. Its description in RNAcentral is "partial 16S ribosomal RNA". It matches the Rfam family "Bacterial small subunit ribosomal RNA", at positions 338 to 795 of the family's 1533-position model. The record is from RNAcentral.